UGGGUAAUCUACCCUUUGGCCUGGGAUAACGUCUAGAAAUGGACGCUAAUACCGGAUAAGACCACAGCUCUGAGGAGUGGUGGGAAAAGGUGCUCGCAAGGGUGCCACCGAUCGAUGAGCCCGCGGCCUAUCAGCUAGUUGGCGGGUAACGCCCACCAAGGCUACGACGGGUAGCUGGUCUGAGAGGAUGGCCAGCCACAUUGGGACUGAGACACGGCCCAAACUCCUACGGGAGCAG
This 238-nucleotide ribosomal RNA is filed under the name uncultured bacterium. RNAcentral's name for it is "partial 16S ribosomal RNA". It matches the Rfam family "Bacterial small subunit ribosomal RNA", at positions 118 to 347 of the family's 1533-position model. The record is from RNAcentral.